GAUGAACGCUGGCGGCGUGCCUAAUACAUGCAAGUCGAGCGAACAGACGAGGAGCUUGCUCCUCUGACGUUAGCGGCGGACGGGUGAGUAACACGUGGAUAACCUACCUAUAAGACUGGGAUAACUUCGGGAAACCGGAGCUAAUACCGGAUAAUAUAUUGAACCGCAUGGUUCAAUAGUGAAAGACGGUUUUGCUGUCACUUAUAGAUGGAUCCGCGCCGCAUUAGCUAGUUGGUAAGGUAACGGCUUACCAAGGCAACGAUGCGUAGCCGACCUGAGAGGGUGAUCGGCCACACUGGAACUGGGAAACGGUCCAGGCUCCUACGGGAGGCAGCAGUAGGGAAUCCUCCGCAAUGGGCGAAAGCUUGACGGAGCAAAGCCGCGUGGGUGAUGAAGGUCUUCGGAUCGUAAAACUCUGUUAUUAGGGAAGAACAAAUGUGUAAGUAACUAUGCACGUCUUGACGGUACCUAAUCAGAAAGCCACGGCUAACUACGUG
Molecule: ribosomal RNA, 497 nt
Filed under: uncultured bacterium
Lineage: Bacteria
Description: partial 16S ribosomal RNA
Rfam family: Bacterial small subunit ribosomal RNA
Source: RNAcentral